This 462-nucleotide long non-coding RNA is filed under the name Physcomitrium patens. RNAcentral's name for it is "long non-coding RNA (PPAT_LNC004465)". The record is from RNAcentral. Lineage: Eukaryota; Viridiplantae; Streptophyta; Bryopsida; Funariales; Funariaceae.
ACCUGGCUGUGGAAGGUAAAAGAAAUUGCAACAAAAGGUCCUAACAAUCCAAUAGGAUUAUAGAGAAUUUAUAAUUAAAUAUUGAAAAUUAUAAUCAAAUAUUAAAUAAGCUCAAUUAAAUUUUAUUGAAGUUAUAAAAGAAACACAAGGAAAUCUUAAAGAAAUAUAAAAUAAUAUUAAAGAAAACUUAGACAAACCCUAACAAAAAUCUAAUAGAAUCUUAAAUUCUAACCAAAUCCUAAUCCUAAUCCUAAUCCAACCUUAAUCAAAUCCUAGACAAAUCCUAAAUCCUAAAUCAAACCUUAAUCAAAUCCUAAAUCCUAAACCAAAUCCUAACCAAAUCCUAAAUCCUAAAUCAAAUCUUAUCCAAAUCUUAAAUCCUAAAUCAAACCUUAAUCCAAAUCCUAAAUCCUAAAUCAAAUCCUAAUCCAAAUCCUAAACCCUAAACCAAAAUCUAAUCCA